RNAcentral lists this long non-coding RNA (1013 nucleotides) under Homo sapiens (human). Its description in RNAcentral is "non-protein coding lnc-CLK1-1:5". Lineage: Eukaryota; Metazoa; Chordata; Mammalia; Primates; Hominidae. The record is from RNAcentral.
ACACAACAGAGGCCGCGGCGGCUUUGUUAGCCAGGCCGGGCACGGCCCAGAGGGAGCCCGCCUCGGCCACUGCCUUCGCAGCCAGCGCCGCGGCGCACACCCGGACCCCACCUCCCCACCCGGGCCGCCGCUACCCCUCGGCCUCCCUGCCGAAGCGGCGGCCUUUCAGGCCCUAGAUCCGGCCCGGCCUCAAGAGGCGACCUCCGUUCGGGCCCAUCCAAGCCGGGCCGCAUCCAGCCCGCCGCCUCCCUCUCCCUCUGCCCGGCGUCCACGACCCGCAGCGUCCGCCCGGGGUGAGCGGGGCGCCGCGUCUCACCGAAUUUAAGGCGAAGAGGAAAGAGCCAGAAAUCCCCGAUGUACCGGCAACUGCGGCGGUGUCUCCUCUGCGACCGGAACUAACGCCAGGAGGAGGGAGAGGUGCCACCCCCGCCCGGACCGCUCUCCUAUCGCGAGAUUUCUUCCCCUUGCCCCGCCCUGAUCGUGGACAGGCGCUUCCGCCUUUUCUAUUGCGCGCGGAUUAGGCAGCUUGUUUGGAACACAUGGAGUGGAGGAUGGAUAAUUUCCCAAAGGAAGAGACAGCAGUCAAAUAAAAACAACAGGAGCAUUACAUCAAGUCUUUGGGUUUAAAACAUUUUUUGGAUGAGAGGAGGCUGGAUGUUCCUGGCUCCUGGGGCAUGGGACUGUGUCAUUCCCUUCAAUUGACAACUGUGAAAAGAAGGCCAUUCGAACCCAUUCUGGCGUUGCUGGGCUCUUCACCGUGAAGUCCUCAGCUAUGUCUCUUUCUCUUCGCACUGCGGCCACAGCGUCAGCAAUGGCAAAGAACACAGAUGACCCCAGGAACAUCCCAGACUCCCCGAGGCCCUGUAAGAAGGCACAUUGGUGUAAGAAACUUCCAUACUACACUACAAGUUUCUAGAGGGUAGGGGCCAGGUCUCGUUCACCAUUGUGUCCCCAACCCCUGCACAGUGUUUUGUACACAAAAUCUUCUCAAUAAAUGUUUGUUGGCUGACUUA